CCUACGGGUGGCAGCAGUGAGGAAUAUUGGUCAAUGGGCGCGAGCCUGAACCAGCCAAGUAGCGUGAAGGAUGACUGCCCUACGGGUUGUAAACUUCUUUUAUCAAGGAAUAAAGUGCGGCACGUGUGCCUUUUUGUAUGUACUUUAUGAAUAAGGAUCGGCUAACUCCGUGCCAGCAGCCGCGGUAAUACGGAGGAUCCGAGCGUUAUCCGGAUUUAUUGGGUUUAAAGGGGGCGGAGAUGGGCUGGUAAGUCCGUUGUGAAAGUUCGCGGCUCAACCAUAGAAUGGCCGUUGAAACUGGGGGGCUUGAGUAGGUGUGAGGCAGGCGGAAUGCGUGGUGUAGCGGUGAAAUGCUUAGAUAUCACGCAGAACCCCGAUUGCGAAGGCAGCCUGCCAAGCCAUGACUGACGCUGAUGCACGAAAGCGUGGGGAUCAAACAGGAUUAGAUACCCCAGUAGUC
Molecule: ribosomal RNA, 460 nt
Filed under: uncultured bacterium
Lineage: Bacteria
Description: partial 16S ribosomal RNA
Rfam family: Bacterial small subunit ribosomal RNA
Source: RNAcentral